AAUUGGUGGGAAGGUAGUGAGUUACCUUAACUGAUUGUUCACAAUAGGUUAUAAAUUGAACUUCUUGUUCUACUCCUUCCCUCCUUCUCACUACUGUACUUGAUGAGUCUUUC
Unclassified non-coding RNA from Otolemur garnettii (small-eared galago), 113 nucleotides. It matches the Rfam family "Y RNA". Rfam says of the family: Y RNAs are components of the Ro ribonucleoprotein particle (Ro RNP), in association with Ro60 and La proteins. The record is from Ensembl. NCBI's taxonomy places the organism in Eukaryota, Metazoa, Chordata, Mammalia, Primates, Galagidae.